RNAcentral lists this ribosomal RNA (245 nucleotides) under uncultured bacterium. RNAcentral describes it as "partial 16S ribosomal RNA". It matches the Rfam family "Bacterial small subunit ribosomal RNA", at positions 92 to 334 of the family's 1533-position model. The record is from RNAcentral.
CCAGUGGCGAACGGGUGCGUAACACGUGAGGAACCUGUCCAACGGUGGGGGAUAGCCGGCCCAACGGCCGGGUAAUACCGCGUACGACCCCAGGGGGGGCAUCUCCCCGGGGUGAAAGCAGCAAUGCGCCGAUGGAGGGCCUCGCGGCCUAUCAGCUAGUUGGUGAGGUAAUGGCUCACCAAGGCUACGACGGGUAGCUGGUCCGAGAGGAUGACCAGCCACAUUGGGACUGAGACACGGCCCAG